UUAAGAAAAAGCAUAUCACAGCCCAAUAUCAUAGCUUAAGGGUGAAGUAUUGUAAGCAUAUAAAAGGGCUACCUUGUUGUGUUUGAAAAUACAAUUCACUCUCACACGAGAGAACAGAGAGUUAAAAACAGAGGAGAAAGGCGGAGAGUGAGCAUAGAACGACGGAGGAAACGAGUUGGAUGCACACCAACUGUUCGAGAAAUCAACCGGUGUUAUUAUUUCAUCUCUUUUCUUCUCUUUUGUGUAAAGCUAUCUUGGUAAUGUGUAGCUAAAGACACUUUUGUUGGGAUUAGGUGUAAAUUACUCUAUUAGUAUGUGUUUCUAUUGAUCAUGGUUUUAUAUAUGGUUUUAGUUGUUUCUCAAUAUUGAUGUUAUCUUUGUUUUCAUUGUUUUAAUCUUUGAUUUGAAUUGUUAUAGACAUAUACCUUUUGAAUCUAAGAACUAGGAUAAUAUCUAUUGAACUCUAAAUUCUAGACAUAGAUUUAGGUUUAAUAUUCACUUAGAGUAUCGAAUCUUAAUGUUAUUGUAUUAAUUGACGAUCUGAGACAUCGGAGGUUAAUAGAUGCAAUAGAUAUCUCGGCGUUAUCUGGACACGGAAACGUUCGACGAGCGAUACGUGAUAAUAUUGAUAGAUGACUAGAACCUGUGUAACUGAUUAGGGGAAUAUGUAUGAAUGAGUGAUUGAAAUCUAAUCCCAGCAAUUUAAUCUCUCUGUCAAAUUAAUCAUCUUUACUACUUUCAUGUAUUCGCAACUUUCGUAAUCAACCAUCUUUGAAAUCCUUUACUUGAAAUUAUAUUAAUUGUUGAACGGCAUCGAUAUCGCAUCAGUCCCUAUGGAGACGAUAAAAACAUACUUACUUUUGAACUUUCAACAAUAUGGCGCCGUUGCCGGGGACUGACGUUUAGAUAUUGGAGCAUCGCAACAAUUUAUAUUCUUUUAAGUAUUUGUAUAUAUUUGUUUAUAUUGUAUAGUUUUUGCUUGUACUAAUCCUCUUUGCUAGACAAAGAAAGCUGUUUUUCUUGUUUGUUGAAUCCUUUUUCAGAUUCCCCAUUAAAAGUAAAACCAUGACUGAUCGUGGUUAUUACAACUUCUAUACUCCGUGUGAGUAUGAAUCAUAUCAACAGUUUCCUCCUUAUAAUUAUGGGCAAACUUCAGAGGCUAGAUUGGAGGAGACCAUGAUUAAAUUAAUGGAAAUGCAGCAGCAACAAAACCAACAGUGGCAACAACAGCUGCAACAGAUGAAUGAACAAAUGCAACAGAUGCAAGACCAGCACCAACAAUAUCUGAAAAACAGUCUUGCACGGGCCAAAAAUUUGGAAAAUCAGCUUGUUCAGUUGGCUAAACAGUUAGCCAAUAACAAUAACCAAGGAGGAACAUUUCAAACCAACACACAAACCACUCCUGAUGCGAAAGAUAAUAAUCCAAUGAAAAACGAGGAAAGUGGAGAGAGUGUGAAAGGUGUUGAAAACAAUGAGGAAGAAAGAAUGUGUGAUGGAUGCGGUGUAGAGAAAAUAGUGAUAAAAAUAAAGACACCACAUGAAGUAGAACUUCCUCAAGAGUCACCAUGUAUUGAGAAGACUAGCACUGUUGAUAAUGAAGAAGUGAUGAUGGCUGCAGAAGAAAUUGAGGGAUUACUUGACAAGGAAAUAUCAAUUGAGCAAAAGAGGGAGAUGGAGAACCAGGCGUUGAUUGAUCGGGUAAUAGACGAAAUUUGUGCCUUGUUCAACAAAAAAGAAUUGGGGAGGAUAUGGACUCCGCAACAUCUAUAUCUAAAGUUCAUGGAGUUCCUCCCUAACCGAAGGAAAAAGACGGAUGAUGUUCUUUCCGUUUCGUUUUGGCCACCCUAACAUCUCAGGCGUCGAGCUACCGACGUUAACCAAGCGCUCGUUGGGAGGCAACCCAAUUUUCUAUCUUUACCAUUUAAUUUUUGCAAUUUAUCAUUUUAGUUUAUUUAAGCAUGUUUUGAAAGGUUGCUAGUAAGCCAAAACUGAACCUCUGGUGUGAAAUUUUAAAUUGUUUUGCUUCUCCUGUAAUUCUUGCUAAGCCAGUUCAGCAGCUCAGUUUUUCUGUCACAUUUCGCUAAGCGAAAUUAUUUUCGCUAAGCCAAAGAUGCCAAUACUGUUUGUUUUAAAUUAGAACAAUCUCAUUCAUCCACUUUUCCUUAUCUCUGUCCCUGCGUUUUUCUCAAAUCUCAAACCCAAAAGUUCUUUAUCCCUCCAUCUUUUGUAUCACUACACCUCACAAAAAUUUCACUCCAUCUCAUUGAUACUCAAUUUUCAACCAUGAAAAGGGUUAAAUUUUUCCCAUUCAUCUCCAACAUAUUUUGUUCUUCAUUGUGCAUCUUAAUUUCAAGAGAAAAGGGAGGCAUUUGCUGCGCAUAUAUAGCAUGGCCUGUGGAAAGGCCAUUUUACUAGGAGGAGGUGAGAAGUUGUUGUUGGUACCAAGGAAGUGAAGAAGAGCCAGACAACUGACAAGAGAAAGAUAGACUAAAAAGCUCUCCAAAACUCUGUGAAGUUUAUUUUAAAUAGCUUUCGGUUAAAUUUAUGCUUUAUCUUAAUUUAUAUUUCUCUUGUGGUCUGAACAACACGUUGAUGGUUGAUUGAAAAAAUGGUUCAAAUUUUUGAAAUUUUGAAUACCAUGUGCAUAUGAAUUGAAAUGUCUAGGUUUGUGAUUAAUCAAAUUUUUCAAAUUGCAUUGUUUGAGGUCAAAUUUUUGUGAUUAUCUUUGAAUGAUAGGAUGAAUUUGAACUAAGUAGCUUUAUUCAAUUUGAUUUCAUUCAUUCCUUCUUAACAUGAUUAAUUGAUUUUGAAUCACGUAGACCUAGUCGGGUGACAUUGUGUGAACUUUCCAUUGUUUAUAUAUUUGAGAGCCGACAAUUGUGUUUAACUCUGUUGAUUUUAACUGAAUCUUGCUAUUACUUGAUGUGUUUGAAGUCAUGGAUAUGAUCAAGGCCUUGUUUCUUUUUGAGUGAUAACUACUUAAGCCAAAAUAACCUACCUUGUGAGUUAGUGUGAUCCUUUGCUACCCCCCUUGAGCCAAAAAUUUUGAAAAUUUGUUUGUUUUGAACCCUUGAACCAUAAUAAAGAAAAACAAUGACUUAACCCUUGUCUUAGGAUGAUUGAGCAUUGAGUUUAAGUAGGGUUGAAAACAAGUUGGGGAGAAAGAGGUUAUUUGUUUG
RNA transcript from Trifolium pratense (red clover), 3179 nucleotides. It is a transcript of the gene named probable basic-leucine zipper transcription factor R, with no coding region annotated. Lineage: Eukaryota; Viridiplantae; Streptophyta; Magnoliopsida; Fabales; Fabaceae. The transcript is spliced from 3 exons. The record is from RefSeq and is a predicted model, not a curated record.